Long non-coding RNA from Cyprinus carpio carpio, 504 nucleotides. NCBI's taxonomy places the organism in Eukaryota, Metazoa, Chordata, Actinopteri, Cypriniformes, Cyprinidae. The record is from Ensembl.
CUCGAUGAAUCUCGCAAAAGAUUCGAGUCAUUAGAUGAAUCAAAACACAGAAAAUAAGACACGUUGGAAAGUGACCUCGAAGAUUGCAAUCUCUUAAGUAAAAUAACGAAUAGCAUCCAUGGCCAUUUAUCUUGGAAAAUAAACCAAAUCACCUAUAAUAGAUUCAUGGAAUAUCAGUUUACAGCACCCAAAGAGUUUCAACGGGACAAUUAUGAGCGAAGGACCUUGCGUGCACCGCCAUCGAAGGGUAACAUGAUCUCUCCCUUAAUUUUAUUAUUAAUACUUUGCUCCGGAGAUGAAGUUCAUGUAUUGGCAUAUAGUGAGGAGGCAAAUGCACUUUUUGCAUCCAUAUUGUGUUUUGAUUAAGUGUACAGUCCUACUUUUAAUUUAUACUGAAAUUUGGAAACUUUUGUAACAAUCUGUGUUAUACUGUAAAUUACAUUUUUAUGACUGGAUUCUGUCAUUCUGGUAAUGUUUUCUGCAUUGCAUAAAUCAUAUAGGGCA